UAGAAGAUGACGAGUGGCGGACGGGUGAGUAAUGCUUGGGAACUUGCCUUUGCGAGGGGGAUAACAGUUGGAAACGACUGCUAAUACCGCAUAAUGUCUUCGGACCAAACGGGGCUUCGGCUCCGGCGCAAAGAGAGGCCCAAGUGAGAUUAGCUAGUUGGUAAGGUAACGGCUUACCAAGGCGACGAUCUCUAGCUGUUCUGAGAGGAAGAUCAGCCACACUGGGACUGAGACACGGCCCAGACUCCUACGGGAGGCAGCAGUGGGGAAUAUUGCACAAUGGGGGGAACCCUGAUGCAGCCAUGCCGCGUGUGUGAAGAAGGCCUUCGGGUUGUAAAGCACUUUCAGUUGUGAGGAAAAGUUAGUAGUUAAUACCUGCUAGCCGUGACGUUAACAACAGAAGAAGCACCGGCUAACUCCGUGCCAGCAGCCGCGGUAAUACGGAGGGUGCGAGCGUUAAUCGGAAUUACUGGGCGUAAAGCGCACGCAGGCGGUUUGUUAAGCUAGAUGUGAAAGCCCCGGGCUCAACCUGGGAUGGUCAUUUAGAACUGGCAGACUAGAGUCUUGGAGAGGGGAGUGGAAUUCCAGGUGUAGCGGUGA
This 600-nucleotide ribosomal RNA is filed under the name Alteromonas macleodii. RNAcentral's name for it is "bacterial SSU rRNA". It matches the Rfam family "Bacterial small subunit ribosomal RNA", at positions 81 to 684 of the family's 1533-position model. Lineage: Bacteria; Pseudomonadati; Pseudomonadota; Gammaproteobacteria; Alteromonadales; Alteromonadaceae. The record is from RNAcentral.